This is a non-coding RNA of Biomphalaria pfeifferi, 676 nucleotides long. Lineage: Eukaryota; Metazoa; Mollusca; Gastropoda; Planorbidae. The record is from the annotation of a GenBank genome assembly.
UUACCCAAAUCUUGCUCGUACUGAAGUAGAUGAAAGCUGAAUUUAUUCGUUAAAUUCUAAAAUGUUAAAUUUCCGGUCAAUUUGUCACAAGCAAAACUAACAAAAAAUGAAUCUAUGCUAAAACUUGAAGUCAACUUUGAAACAAAAACUUGUUUGACAAAAUGAAUUCAAAGUUGUAUUUUUUUCCUUUUCUAAUAAUUUUGUUCGUUGCCGCGAGAAGAGUUGCGAAUUGACUAACUGUUACAUAAGAUGGUUCUCUAAAUGUCUAAAGACUCCAAUAAGUCCUGGUCCCACUGACGAACUGUUGAACUAUGGGAGAUGUCCUACACGUCUGUCCUCCCGACCAGCUCUCCCCUCAUCUCAUUUAUAAAACAUUUGGUCUAGAACCACGUACCUCCUUCGCCUUUUUCUAGAGCCACCUCCUUUUUCGCCUUUCUCUUUUUUUAUAUAAUUUUUUUUUCUUACUUUUCGCCCCACUGAAAGUGACGUCACAAGUAAUAAGCCCACAACUUGUUUUUCUCCCCCUCUCUCUUUUUUCGAUUUAUUUGCAAGUUUUUUUCUUUGUUUUGUUUCAAGUUUUUUUUUUUUAAUAGCUUGAGUAUUGGGUAUUUCUAACGCUUGCUCUUACCGCAGACCCGAGUGUUUCGCAUGCGUGGAGCUGUCGCCCUGGCAAAGU